RNAcentral lists this ribosomal RNA (940 nucleotides) under uncultured bacterium. Its description in RNAcentral is "bacterial SSU rRNA". It matches the Rfam family "Bacterial small subunit ribosomal RNA", at positions 8 to 933 of the family's 1533-position model. The record is from RNAcentral.
AGAGUUUGAUCAUGGCUCAGAACGAACGCUGGCGGCGCGUCUUAAACAUGCAAGUCGGACGGGAACCUCGGUGCUUGCAUUGAGGGGAGAGUGGCGAACGGGUGAGUAACACGUGGAUAAUCUACCUCCGGGAUGGGGAUAACUACCCGAAAGGGUGGCUAAUACCGAAUGAGAUGGUGGUUGCAUAUGCAACAGCCAUUAAAGGUGGGGACCGCAAGGCCUACCGCCUGGGGAUGAGUCCGCGGCCCAUUAGCUUGUUGGCGGGGUAAUGGCCCACCAAGGCGACGAUGGGUAACCGGCCUGAGAGGGUGAACGGUCACACUGGGACUGAGAUACGGCCCAGACUCCUACGGGAGGCAGCAGUUAAGAAUUUUGCGCAAUGGGCGAAAGCCUGACGCAGCGACGCCGCGUGGACGAUGAAGGUCUUCGGAUUGUAAAGUCCAGUAAGCAGGGACGAAUAAGCAAGGGGUAAUAUUCCUUGUGAUGACGGUACCUGUCUAAAGCCUCGGCUAACUACGCGCCAGCAGCCGCGGUAAUACGUAUGAGGCGAGCGUUGUUCGGAAUUAUUGGGCAUAAAGGGCGUGUAGGCGGGGAAUUAAGUUAGGUGUGAAAGCCACGGGCUCAACCCGUGAAUUGCACCUAAUACUGGUUCUCUUGAGUUCGGGAGAGGAGAGCGGAAUUCCAGGUGUAGCGGUGAAAUGCGUAGAUAUCUGGAAGAACACCAGUGGCGAAGGCGGCUCUCUGGCCUAGGACUGACGCUAAGGCGCGAAAGCGUGGGGAGCGAACGGGAUUAGAUACCCCGGUAGUCCACGCCGUAAACGUUGUAUACUAGGUGUAGGUGGUUUUGCCACCUGUGCCGACGCAAAUGCAUUAAGUAUACCGCCUGGGGAGUACGUCCGCAAGGAUGAAACUCAAAUGAAUUGACGGAAUCACUAGUGCG